CCUUUGACGUUAGCGGCGGACGGGUGAGUAACACGUGGGUAACCUACCUAUAAGACUGGGAUAACUUCGGGAAACCGGAGCUAAUACCGGAUAAUAUUUCGAACCGCAUGGUUCGAUAGUGAAAGGUGGUUUUGCUAUCACUUAUAGAUGGACCCGCGCCGUAUUAGCUAGUUGGUAAGGUAACGGCUUACCAAGGCGACGAUACGUAGCCGACCUGAGAGGGUGAUCGGCCACACUGGAACUGAGACACGGUCCAGACUCCUACGGGAGGCAGCAGGA
Molecule: ribosomal RNA, 279 nt
Filed under: uncultured Staphylococcus sp.
Lineage: Bacteria; Bacillati; Bacillota; Bacilli; Caryophanales; Staphylococcaceae
Description: partial 16S ribosomal RNA
Rfam family: Bacterial small subunit ribosomal RNA
Source: RNAcentral